GACGAACGCUGGCGGCGUGCUUAACACAUGCAAGUCGAACGGAAAGGCCCUGCUUUUGUGGUGUGGUCGUUUGGCGAACGGGUGAGUAACACGUGAGUAACCUGCCCUUGACUUUGGGAUGACUUCAGGAAACUGGGGCUAUUACCGGAGAGGAUCUCCUGCUGCAUGGUGUGGGUUGGAAAGUGUCGGCGGUGGGGGAUGGAUUCGCUGCUUAUCCGCUGGUUUGGGGGGUAGGGGCUUACGAAGGCUUUGACGGGUAGCCCGCCUGAGAGGGUUGACGGCGACCUUGGGCCUGAGAUACGGAGCAGACUCGUACGGGAGGCAGCAGUGGGGAACCUUGCACAAUGGGCGGGAGUCUGAUGCAGCAGCGCCCGGUGCGGGAUGCUCGCCUUCGAGUUGUGAACCGCUUUCGAAUGUGACGAAGCGUGAGUGACGGUACUGAGUAAAGAAGCCCCGGCUAACUACGUG
RNAcentral lists this ribosomal RNA (468 nucleotides) under uncultured bacterium. Its description in RNAcentral is "partial 16S ribosomal RNA". It matches the Rfam family "Bacterial small subunit ribosomal RNA", at positions 28 to 507 of the family's 1533-position model. The record is from RNAcentral.